GAGGAAGGCACAAGCCACAGCCCUGUCCGAGGCGCUGAAGAUGCAGUCAGGAAUGUGACCCCUCCACGGAGAGCAGGCUGCAAGCCCCACACAUUGCUGUGGUAGGGGCUGGGGUAGAAUGCAUCAUGCAAUGACUGAGUGUGAGCCCUAAAUUGUGCCUGGACAGGCACAAAAGACUGAGGCUGAACCUGCUUCUCUUGGGGCUCGGAGGGGCUCAGAUGAGCUAGGGCAUGGAUGGGAGAUCUUUUUUUUUUCCAAAAAGAUUGGCACCUGAGCUAACAACUGUUGCCAAUCUUCUUCAUUUUUUUUUUUUUCCCUUUUUCUUCCCAAAGCCCCCCCACCUCCCCAGUACAUAGUUGUGUAUUCUAGCUGUAGGUCCUUCUGGUUGUGCUAUGUGGGACGCCACCUCAGCAUGGCCUGAUAAGCAGUGCCAUGUCUAUGCCUGGGAUCAGAACUGGCGAAACCCCGGGCUGCCAAAGCAGAGCGCGCAUGAACUUAACAACUCAGCCACGGGACCGGCCCUGGGAGAUCAUCUUCUUGAAUGCACACAGAGCCCAUGGGGUGGCUGCCUGCACAGCGCACAACCCAUGCCCUGAAGCGACCCUCUCCAAGAUCUCUUUGCUUAUUGGAUGAAGCUCUGCCUCCUCUCCCCCCAGCCCUGGUUCCCUUUGAGAAAUGCAAAGCACAGGAGCGGAAACCCAGAUGAUGUAAGGCUCCUGUUACCAAAAUGCAGCCCAGUGUUUCGUUGGUUCGGAUCCUGGGCGCGGACAUGACACUGCUCAUCAAACCACGCUGAGGCAGCGUCCCACAUGCCACAACUAGAAGAACCCACAACGAAGAAUACACAACUAUGUAUCGGGGGGCUUUGGGGAGAAAAAGGAAAAAAAAAAUAAAAUCUUUAAAAAAAAAUGUGAAGAUAUAAAGGGUCUAAUUUGAAAAGACUUCUCAUCACUGAUCCUGUUACCCUUCCUAGAGGCUGCCACUUGGCUGUUCUUUAAGAGAAAUUCCACACAUAAAAUACCCCAUCCCCACAAACAGCAGCAUUGUUCUGCUUGCCUUUUUCCUUAAUAAUACAUCUUGGAGAUAUACACAAAGAACUGGCUCUUUCUUUUUAAAGGCUACAGGGCACAUUACAUGUGAGUAAGGCCCUUAUUUAGCCAGGCCUCUCUGGAUGGACCUUCAGGUUGUUUCCAAUCUUUUAUUAAUGCAAACCAUGCUUCAACAAACACUUUGUUCAUCCUUUUUGCAUGUGGAUAAGGAAAUUCCUAAAAGCAGGACUAUAUGUGCAUUUUAAACUCUGAUAGCUAUCACUGUUUUAUUCAUUUUGUUAUAUGGAUGCAUCAUAGUUCAUUUGGCCAGUCCAUUCUUCU
RNAcentral lists this long non-coding RNA (1370 nucleotides) under Equus caballus (horse). RNAcentral's name for it is "lncRNA (ENSECAG00000059550.1)". The record is from RNAcentral. Lineage: Eukaryota; Metazoa; Chordata; Mammalia; Perissodactyla; Equidae.